This 962-nucleotide unclassified non-coding RNA is filed under the name Leishmania donovani. RNAcentral's name for it is "gene:LdHU3.19.0030(CDS-product:histone_H2B)". Lineage: Eukaryota; Euglenozoa; Kinetoplastea; Trypanosomatida; Trypanosomatidae. The record is from RNAcentral.
CUUCCCAGCCCACCUUCGCUGUCCAGCCACCCUCGCUCUACUACAUCUCCCACCCCCCUCACACCACCAUGGCUUCUUCCCGCAAGGCUUCCAACCCGCACAAGUCGCACCGCAAGCCUAAGCGCACGUGGAACGUGUACGUGGGCCGCUCGCUGAAGGCGAUCAACGCCCAGAUGUCGAUGUCGCACCGCACGAUGAAGAUCGUGAACUCGUACGUGAACGACGUGAUGGAGCGCAUCUGCACUGAGGCCGCGUCGAUUGUUCGCGCGAACAAGAAGCGCACGCUGGGUGCGCGCGAGGUGCAGACGGCGGUGCGCAUUGUGCUGCCGGCGGAGCUCGCGAAGCACGCCAUGGCUGAGGGCACGAAGGCCGUGUCGAGCGCGUCCCGCUAAACCGGUUUUUCGGAUGCCGUGCGAGUAGGAGGGUGGCUGCCGCAGACGGCUGACCUCGGCGACUGCGGCGUGGCGCUCCCCUUCUCCGGCGGUGUGUGUCAUGCAUCUGCUUGACUCCUCCCUCUCAUAGAUGCAAGUUUUUUUCUCUCGCGAUAUUUUAUUUUUCUCCUCCCCCUCCCUCAACGUGGAGUGUAUGUGACAGCGUACUGGACAUGAAGUUGAACAAGCAAUGCCCCUCUGCUGCGGAGUCGCAGAUGAGUGUGGGGUGUCGAUGGCGUCUUGCGGUGUAUGCACCCGCUGUAGCAAACGCGUUCGAGGGUGACGGCGGCACGCGUGGAGAACAUCGGCUUGCUCUCACCUAGGCGCAUCUGUUCUAGCCCCUUGUCGCCGUUUUAUGUUCCCUACCGAUUUCCCGUAUUAAUAUCUCGUUCUCGCGAGGGACCUGGCCCGUUUGACCGGCAAGCACCUCAGCUCGUCUCCCUACCACCCCCGAUUUCUCUCCCUUGCCGCCACCCGCCCCCCUUCACUCCUCUGCCACGAUGCGCACACCCGCACGCACAAUUCAUGCAG